UAUGAUGGGACGGGGUGGGGCCAGUGGUGGAAGAGUUUUGGAGACUUCUCCUGUUUGGAGUUCAGAGUGCAAGCUUAAAAUAGAAAGAGAAAGCAAAAUCUGACAGAUUAUGGAUCAAAAAGUGAGAGUUGAGCUGAAAAAACCAUCCAAACCAUAGCAAAGAGUAAAACUCAGAAGUCAUAAAUAAAAACAGCUGGAUCACCAUGGAAGCCUCCAGUUUUAAGAUUGGAUGCUUGCACUGGAAGCAGUGUCAUAAGAAGAACAUGGACGUAUGGACAUCAUUUGGCAUGCACAUAAGAACACGGAGACCAAUUUAAGAAAGGGCUAAGAGUUGACCAAGUCCCAGAAAGAAGAAUGUCACUUAAGUAAGAUUGCAUGCAUUAAGGGAACCCAGAAGCUGAUAUCUGCAGAGAAUUGUUCAAGAGAGAGACUACAAUUCUACUUAAAAGAACAGUGUGGUGAAGCUGAGGUCAUAGGUGGAGUGGACAGUCUUCUAUCUCCUUGGAUACUCUUUGCUAUACUUUCUAUUCCAAGUGUAAAUUGUUUUUUGUAACAGAUGAGAAAUUACCAGCUAAUUCAUGGCUAAUUUGCAUUGAUUCUAAUUCAUGUGAAAGUUGAAAGAAAUGAAAUGUUGUUUAAUUCUUCGUUCAUAGCUUUGGUUAUUAUGGUUCAUUUGACCCCACAGGGCUUAUAACAAGAGACAACUUUGGAUUUUAGUGAGAAGUACAAAUGAAACAUUACUUGUUGAAAUGAAAACAAUUUCUGAGAACUGUCACCUAAUCCAGCAGCAGUGUUAGAAUUAUCCCAACCUUAGUGCCUUUAAAACAUUGAAGAUGGCAGCAUUGGCAAAGUAGGCACCGUUUGGGCUCUGGACCCAUCUGUUCUAGAUGGCCGCUUCCUCCCUAACUCUCUUGUCUUCAUUUUCUUUUUCUUCAUUGUCUUCCUGUCAGUAGCGUAAGAAUGACAUCAUGGAGGGGAACAGGUGGCAAAGCGGUGGCAGAAAAGCCAAGGACUUUUGGUUGUGAAUCUGGAGUGGGGGCUCCAAGCAUUGGUGACGUGGUGGUUGAAGUGGCAGUGGUGUGGUAUGCUUAGAGUGGGAACUUGAGGUGUUGGCAAGGUGGUGGCCUUAGCAGAGCAGAGGGCUCCUGGCGGUGGGCCCAAAGCAGGGACUCUCGGCAUCUGCAAGGCGGCAGCAGAGCCAGGAACUUCUGGUUGCAGUAUGCUUGGAUCAAGGAUUCCUUGCUAUCGGCAUGGCAGUGGCAACAAUUCCUGGUUGUGAUCGUCCCAUAGCUCAGGUCUUCUGGUUUGUCAGUGAGGUAACAGUAGCAGCAGAGCGGGGGGGGCUUAUCUUUGUGGGAAGAGUGUGGGUCCAGAAUGGGAUCCGGCAUCGACAGGGUGGGCCCAGCUAUGAAGAGAUGGCACCUGAAGAGUGAUGACUCGGACGUUGAGGAGUCUGGUGCAAAUGAUGGUAUGGGUGUCAUCAGUGGAGCAAAGAUGAAUUUUCUUUCAGCUUUGUCUUUUUAUUCUUGAGGUAUUCGAAUAGUGCCGGAUUGUGGCGACAGUUGAAGUUUUCACUGUAUUUUACUGUGUUGUUCAUUGAAGAGUAUAAGUAAUAAUAAGUCAUCAUACAUUCAUAUUAACAUAAUUAGCUGCAGGAACCAUUGAGCCCACAGUCUGGAUUAGCAUGCCCAUAUUUUCAUGUAAAUAAAAUGCUAACUAUUAUGCUAUAAAUAAUUUCUGUAGCAAUUGGUUUGUGAUGCUGCAACACUGAAACUGACAUUCAGAAUCUAUGCCAUAUCUUGCCAAGUAGGCAAUCUGUGCCCAGGAAUAGUGAGAUAAUUUGCAUUGCCUACUGUGUGAUUUAGCUGCUGGUUAUGUAGCUGCUCAUUUUUAUUCUACACAAAAUACCUGGCAUUUUACUAAUCCAAUAUAAAUAGAAUCCAAGUAAUCAAUUUUAAAGUCCUCUACAGCAUAUUUACUACAGACAGAUGCUAUUAUAUGGAGUUGUGAUGCCAAAUACCAAUGUGUUUUCCUGGUGCCUUUCAAUGCCAUCACUACUGUUCAUAUCAUUGGCAAUUUUCCAAAAGACAACAUACUAAGCACACAUUGUCAAUCAAGAUUACAGGCAAAAUUUUUAUCAUUAGAUAUGAUUUGUAUAGUUUUACUGAAUUUCAAUAUCCCUUCUUAGCUAGAUAUUAACAGUUAGUUAAAGGCAUUAGACAACAACUAAAACACUUAACCUGUUUUCACUGAGAGACACAGUUUCAUGUCAUAAAACGAUCAGUCUAAUCAAGGGAUUUCAGAUUGGAGACAACUAAGUCUUUACAAGGAUUUGUAAUCCAUAUGAUCAAUUAAUAUCAUAAGUUUUCCACCUACAACAAGUCAGGUUGCAGUGAUGGAGCAUCAAGCAGGAUAGAUGACUGGCGUAGGGACUGAUUUAGUGACUCAAGAUUCUUUAUUGUGAAACUGAGAAACUAACUCACAUGGAGCAUUCAGCAUAUUCAAAGGCUUUUUGAUAAGUAAUUCCAACAUGGUAGGUUACUGUGUGGCAACAGUGUUAGUCGCAAACAAUCGAUGUUGAUUUCUUUGGGCCUCCACUUUAGAUUAUUGCUUUGUUAAAAAAAAAUCUGGAUACCAUUUGUUUUAUUAUUAACAGUGUAGUGCAAAUAUAAUGAAAUAUAUAUAAAUGCAUACUUGAUUUAUGUUUGCAAAUUGUAACCCAAUAUUGCGCCAAUAGACUUUGAUUGGCAGCAGAGACAUUUACUCCGUGUUUUUAAUCACAAUGAAUUAACAUGUACUAAUAUGAUGUGACAGUGAAUUUAUUCAAAAAUGCAACAACUCUUAGUUCCUUUUGAUAGCAGAUUUCCUUUAUCAAAAGUGGAUCACUGGUUUAAGCUGCUGGUGUGGCAUUGAUAAAUGUUUGCUUGUUGAUGGUACAAAUCAAAAAAAUGUAUUUCUAUUUAUUAAGGUUUUUAGAAACUAAAAUUGAAACUAUCUGAUUCUCUCCCAUUCAUCAAUAAAUUAUACUCCCCUUUUCUCGAA
Long non-coding RNA from Hemiscyllium ocellatum (epaulette shark), 3042 nucleotides. RefSeq lists it as uncharacterized. The transcript is spliced from 3 exons. The record is from RefSeq and is a predicted model, not a curated record. Lineage: Eukaryota; Metazoa; Chordata; Chondrichthyes; Orectolobiformes; Hemiscylliidae.